RNAcentral lists this ribosomal RNA (467 nucleotides) under uncultured bacterium. RNAcentral describes it as "partial 16S ribosomal RNA". It matches the Rfam family "Bacterial small subunit ribosomal RNA", at positions 29 to 507 of the family's 1533-position model. The record is from RNAcentral.
ACGAACGCUGGCGGCGUGCUUAACACAUGCAAGUCGAACGGAAAGGCCCUGCUUUUGUGGGGUGCUCGAGUGGCGAACGGGUGAGUAACACGUGAGUAACCUGCCCUUGACUUUGGGAUAACUUCAGGAAACUGGGGCUACUACCGGAUAGGAGCUCCUGCUGCAUGGUGGGGGUUGGAAAGUUUCGGCGGUUGGGGAUGGACUCGCGGCUUAUCAGCUUGUUGGUGGGGUAGUGGCUUACCAAGGCUUUGACGGGUAGCCGGCCUGAGAGGGUGACCGGCCACAUUGGGACUGAGAUACGGCCCAGACUCCUACGGGAGGCAGCAGUGGGGAAUAUUGCACAAUGGGCGGAAGCCUGAUGCAGCAACGCCGCGUGCGGGAUGACGGCCUUCGGGUUGUAAACCGCUUUCGCCUGUGACGAAGCGUGAGUGACGGUAAUGGGUAAAGAAGCACCGGCUAACUACGUG